AACAACGUUUUUCAUUUCCGCUCCCUGAAAUAAAUAAGUUGUUGUCUAUGACCCCUGUUCUUUCCUUGAGCAAUUAUUUAAAAAAAUAAAAAAGAAGCAUAAUAACAUAAUAUCUCAGAUUAAUUUCCUUUGAAAGCCUGGGAAAACGCUUGGGCUUCUUCUGGAUGAUCUGGACAUGCUACAACCCCAAAAUAUGUAUUACCGCCACCAACUGGACGACGUUGAAGAAAACAAGCAAAUGGCACAAUCAAUAUCAACUGUCCCAGGAUGCACCACCACUAGCAGAGGGCCAGGAAAACCACCAAGCUGCCUGCAAGGCUGAAUAAUGUAAGCAAAUGGCACAAUCAAUAUCAACUGUCCCAGGAUGCACCACCACUAGCAGAGGGCCAGGAAAACCACCAAGCUGCCUGCAAGGCUGAAUAAUCCUAUCGGAUUUCCUGUUAUCAACCUAUUGCCUGAUCUCCCGGAUGACGUUACAAGCCUUUUCCAUGCCUGUACUAUUGCCUUUUUGGACCCCCUGUGUAUGACCUUCUGCCUGCCCCUGGACCCAGCUACCUGCCUCCUCAUGUGGUCCUUUACCAAUAAACACCUGCUGCGCCCUGCGCUUGAAACCAGCUCUCUGUCUCCCUUUGUGUUCAUUACACUCCCGAGUAGCACAGCAGUCUAAGACACUGCAUCGCAGUACAAACUGCGUUGCUACAGAUGCUGUCUCGAGUCCCGUGCUUGCCACAACCAGGAGACCCAUGAGGCGAUGCACAAUU
Oncorhynchus tshawytscha (Chinook salmon) is the source of this 761-nucleotide long non-coding RNA. RefSeq lists it as uncharacterized. The record is from RefSeq and is a predicted model, not a curated record. The transcript has 4 exons. NCBI's taxonomy places the organism in Eukaryota, Metazoa, Chordata, Actinopteri, Salmoniformes, Salmonidae.